UGCUGGCGCGCGCGACGUGCCAGCGCUGUCGUGGACACGCGUGAACUGCUCCAACUUGUCUGCAGCCCGCGUGGUGUUUCAUUGAAGCGCAUCGUGCCGCCAUGGGGAAUCGCCUGACGUCGCUGCUCUUGGCUCUGCUGCUGUUUGUCUCCAGCUGUGUGCGGAGCCAUGAGGAGGCGGAACGGACACAAACCAUGCGAUUCACACAUUCAACCUACAAUGCCACCAUAUAUGAGAACUCCGCUGCCAAGACUUACCUGGAAAGCCCGGUGAAAAUGGGCAUUUAUGUCUUGGACCCAGCUUGGGAAGUGCGGUACAAGAUAGCAUCCGGUGACACAGAGAACCUCUUUAAAGCCGAGGACCAUGUAGUGGGAGACUUCAGCUUCUUGCGCAUCAGGACCAAAGGAGGCAGCACAGCUAUUUUAAACAGGGAAGUAAAAGACCACUACCUUCUAACGGUCAAGGCGUUUGAACGGACCACUAAUGCUGAAGUCCGCACGAGAGUUAGAGUUCAGGUGCUGGACACCAAUGAUCUCAGGCCCCUGUUCUCGCCCACCUCGUACAGCGUGUCCCUGCCAGAGAAUACUGCCAUAAGGUCCAGUGUGGCCAGGGUUACUGCGACAGAUGCCGAUGUGGGCACUAAUGGCGAAUACUACUACAGCUUCAGGGAGUGGACGGACAUGUUUGCGGUGCAUCCUACCAGUGGAGUGGUGACGCUCACGGGUCGCUUGGACCACUCAGAGACCCGGCUGUACGAGCUAGAGGUGUUGGCAGUAGACCGUGGCAUGAAGCUCUAUGGGAGUAGCGGUUUCAGCAGCACCGCGCGGCUCACUGUGCGAGUGGAGCCGGCCAAUGAGCAUGCUCCUGUCAUCACCGCUGUCACUCUCACCCCCUCAGACAGUGAUGGGGACCCCACAUACGCCAUGGUAACAGUGGAAGACGAUGACCAGGGACCAAAUGGGGAAAUUGCAUCACUGAGUGUUGUGGCAGGUGACCCACUUCAGCAGUUCAAGGCUAUGAGGACCAGUCCUGGCAGCAAGGAGUAUAGGAUAAAAGCAGUAAAGGAUGUGGACUGGGACAGCCAGCCUUAUGGAUACAACCUUACAUUGCAGGCUAAAGAUAAAGGAAACCCUCCUUUAUUCUCUGCUGUUAAAGUGGUUCAUGUCACAUCUCCAAAGUUUAAAGCUGGUCCCCCUAAAUUUGAGAAGAGUGUUUACAAAGUGAGCCUUAGUGAAUUUGCCCCAGUCCACACACCUGUAAUAAUGGUGAAAGCUGUCCCAAGCUACCCCCAGCUGAAGUAUGUAUUCAAAUAUAAGAUGGAGAAAAACCGGUUUGCCUUAAAUCCAGAUACGGGACUAAUUACCACCACUGGGCCAAUUCACGCAGACUAUGCCCCUAAAUAUGAACUGGAAGUCGUUACCAGCGACAGUAAAGCAGCCGCUAAGGUUGUGAUUGAUGUGAUUGACAUGAAUAACAAUUCCCCUGACUUUCAGCAAACCUCGUAUGAGGCCAGCGUUGAUGAGCACAUGCCAGUAGGAUCCAGUGUGCUAACAGUGAGUGCCAGUGACCUCGAUGAUGGGGAAAAUGGCUACGUCACUUACAGCAUUGCCAAUGUGAACCCACAACCUUUUGCCAUAGACUACUUCACUGGUGUCAUUAGUACUUCAGAAGACUUGGAUUAUGAGUUGAUGCCCAGGAUUUACAAUUUAAGAGUUAGGGCAUCGGACUGGGGGUCUCCAUUCCGCCGCGAAGUUGAGAUUCCGGUCACAAUCACGCUGAACAACCUGAACGACAACAAGCCCCUGUUUGAAAAUAUAGACUGCCAGGUUACUGUGCCAAGGGACCAUGCUGUUGGUGCGCAGAUAACGACGGUGUCUGCCAUUGAUGCAGAUGAAUUACAGUUGGUUCGAUAUGAAAUAAAAGCUGGGAACAACCUGGGCCUUUUUGACCUAAAUCCAAAUUCAGGAGUGCUGUCAUUGAAGCAGUCAUUAAACGAGGGCGAAGGGGCGAAAGUGUCCUUUUAUAGUUUACAGAUCACUGCGACUGAUGGUGAACAUGUUACUGCACCCAUGACUGUGAACAUCAGUGUGGUAACAGCCCAUAAGCCCAUCCAGCUGAAAUGCAUAGACACAGGGGUUGCUGCCAUGUUGGCAGAGAAGCUUCUCCAGGGCACUAAGAUCCACAGUCACGUGGAGCCAGAGGAUAACUUUGUGGAUAUUCAUACGAUUAACCGCUACGCACCACAGUUCUCUGAGUCGUUUCCCACAUUUAUUGAGGUCAGGGAAGACCUCCCUGUAGGGGCCAGAGUUGCACUCCUCACUGCCUCAGAUGCAGAUAGUGGCUUCAAUGGAAAACUUGUGUAUGUGAUUUCUGGAGGGAAUGCUGAGAGCCGGUUUAUUGUUGACAUGGAUACAGGUUGGCUUCAGGUAUACUCUCCACUAGACAGAGAAGCAGCAGAUCAUUACACGCUAAAUGUAACAGUUUAUGAUCUCGGGAUACCUCAGAAGUCCUCAUCACGUCUCCUGGAUGUCAACAUCUUGGACGCAAAUGACAACAGCCCACUAUUCUUGCAGGGCAGUUACUCUGCAGAAAUAAGUGAAAACACAGUGAUUGGUACAGAGAUUAUUCAAGUUGAGGCUACAGAUAAAGAUCUCGGUGUCAAUGGGGAAGUCCGAUACUCACUGGUGGCCGAUACCAGUCAGUUUGCUAUUCAUGAGAGGACUGGCGUAGUGACAGUGAAAAGUCCUCUGGACCGUGAGGUGCAUCCUGUUUAUAUUUUGAAAGUAGCUGCCCAAGAUCAAGCCACCAAUGAACCACAGUUGAUAUCUACAGUGAUCCUGAAAGUAGUUCUGGAGGAUGUCAAUGACAACCCUCCAAAGUUCAUUCCGUCGAGUUACCAGGUGAAAGUACGGGAAGAUCUCCCAAUCGGUACUGUGGUGCUGUGGCUAGAAGCCUAUGACCCCGAUGUGGGCCAGUCCGGCCAGCUGCGCUACAGUCUGGUUGACAGCGGAGACGGAAACUUUGAAGUGGACAAAUUGAGUGGAGCAGUGCGCAUUGUGAAAAACCUGGAUUAUGAGAAGAAGCAGGUGUACAACCUCACAGCACGAGCUAAGGACAAAGGAAAGCCUGUGUCCCUGUCCUCUACGUGCCACAUUGAGGUUGACAUAGUAGACGUCAACGAGAACCUGCAUCGCCCCUCGUUCCCCUCCUUCGUGGAUAAGGGCACCGUCAAGGAAGAUGCUGCUAUUGGCACCUCAGUUAUGAAAGUGACAGCACAAGAUGAAGACAAGGGGAGAGAUGGGGAAAUCAGAUACUCCAUUCGUGAUGGAUCAGGCCUUGGAGUGUUCAUCAUUGAUGAAGGCACUGGUGUCAUCCGAACACAGGAGCUUCUUGAUCAUGAAACCACCCCCCACUACUGGCUGACAAUCUAUGCCACAGACCAGGGUGUGGUGCCACUCUCUUCCUUCAUAGAAGUCUACAUCCAGGUGCAGGAUGUGAAUGACAAUGCCCCACAGACCGCUGAGCCUGUGUAUUACCCCACUGUCUUGGAGAACUCUCCCAAGGAUGUGUCCAUCAUCCGUGUGGAGGCCUGGGACCCUGACGCUGCCUCCCGUGACAAGCUCUCAUACAAGAUAACUAGCGGGAACCCUCAGGGUUUUUUCACCAUUGACUCCAAGACAGGUCUGGUCACCACAACAUCAAGAAAACUGGACCGAGAACAGCAGGAUGAGCACAUUCUGGAGGUCACAGUGACCGACCACGGGACUCCCGCCAGGUCCACAGUGGUCCGGGUCAUUGUGCACGUGUUGGACGAGAACGACAACCGGCCACAGUUCCUGGAGAAGAUCUAUAAGAUCAAGCUUCCGGAGCGGGAGAAGCCGGAACGGGAGCGGACUUCUCGCCGUGAGCCUGUCUACAGGGUUGUGGCUUCAGAUCGGGAUGAGGGUCCCAAUGCAGAGAUCUCCUACAGCAUUGAGGAAGGGGACGAGCAUGGAAAGUUCUUCAUCGAGCCAAAGACUGGAUUGGUGUCUUCUAAAAAGUACUCGUCAGCUGGAGAGUAUGACAUUCUCACUAUCAAAGCGGUGGACAAUGGACGCCCCCAGAAGUGGUCCACCUGUCGGCUGCACCUUGAAUGGAUUCCCAAACCCAAACCGUCCGCCCAGCCGCUAGCCUUUGAUGAGCCAUCCUUCUCCUUCUCUGUUAUGGAGAGUGAUCCCGUGGCCCACAUGGUGGGAGUCAUCACGACCGAACCCGUAGACACACCUGUCUGGUUCGAGAUCACAGGAGACACUCAGGCUAAAGAAGUGUUCUCCAUCGUUCAGAUGGCUUGUGACCUGAACUGUACAGCAGAAGGAGGUAACCACGACAGCCGUUUUGACGUGGGCAAGGGCAGUGGAACGAUCAUCGUGGCCAGGCCACUGGAUGCCGAGCAGCGGUCCAGUUAUAACCUGACUGUGGAAGCCACAGACGGAACCAGAUCUGUUAGCACCCAGGUCUCCAUCCGCAUCAUCGACACCAACAACCACCGGCCCCAAUUCUCCCAGCCCAAGUAUGAGAUCAGCGUCCCUGAGGACACGGCACCCGAGACUGCGGUCCUACGGGUCAGCGCUACCGACCGAGAUGAGAAGAACAAGCUGACAUACACACUACUGAGCAGCACUGACCCGUUCAGUCUGAGGAAAUUCCGUCUGGAGCCUGGGACGGGUGUUCUCUACACCACUGAGCACCUAGAUCAUGAGACCAUGCGACGACACAUCCUGACUGUGAUGGUGCGUGACCAGGACAUUCCAGUGAAGAGGAACCUUGUGAGAGUAAUCAUAAAUGUGGAGGAUGCCAAUGACAACGCACCAUGGUUCACAAGUUCUGCCUAUUUGGGCCGUGUGUUUGAGUCCGCCUCUGUGGGUUCUGCUGUACUGCAGGUCACUGCUCGCGACAAAGACACAGGCCGCAAUGCCGAGAUCAUCUACAGCAUAGAGUCAGGAAAUGUUGCGAAUUCAUUUGCUAUUGACCCUGUCCUUGGCACGAUAAUGGUCGCGAAGGAGCUUGAUCGCAGCAGCAAGAACCAAUUUGAUCUGGUUGUGAAGGCUACUGAUAAAGGACUUCCUCCACUGAGUGCAGUGACAACCAUCCAGAUUAUGGUAACAGUAUCUGAUAAUGCCGUACCUAGAUUCACCAGUAAGGAGUUCUCUGCUGAGGUCAGUGAAACAGCUCUGCCUGGAACAUUUGUAAGUUUAGCCACAGCGUCCAGCCAGUCUUCCGUCUUCUACCAGAUAAAAGGUGGAAACGUGGACAGUGCUUUCGAUAUUAAUCCCAACUCUGGUGUGGUGGUCACUCAGAAGAUUUUGGACUUUGAGACAUUGCCUUCAUACAGGCUGGUAGUGCAGGGGACCAGCAUGGCUGGCCUGGCCAGUAACACAACGCUCUUAAUACACCUGAAGGACGAAAAUGACAACGCUCCGGUCUUCAUGGAGCGUGAAUUCAAAGGUGUGGUCAGUGAGUCAGCCCCAGUAAACACCAUGGUUCUCACAGGAGACAACUCUCCAUUGGUGAUCCGGGCCACAGAUGCAGACAGAGACUCCAAUGCAAUGUUGGUCUAUCAGAUUGUGGAGCCAUUUGCCCACAACUACUUUGCCAUUGACUCCAGCACAGGAGCUAUAAGGACCAUCGCUGUGCUAGACUAUGAAGACAGGAGCUUGUUUCGCUUCACCGUGCAGGUUCACGACAUGGGAAUGCCACGUUUAUUUGCUGAGACAGCAGCCAAUGUGACAGUCCUAGUCAGAGACAUCAAUGACUGCUCUCCACAAUUCAGCCAACCCCUGUAUGAGGCUUCUGUCAUCUUGCCAACUUACAAAGGUGUCCAAGUGAUUGCGAUAAAUGCCACCGAUGCGGACUCUGGGCCAAAUUCCAAGCUUUUCUUCUCCAUUUCGGGCGGCAACAUUGGCGAUAAAUUCAGGAUGGAUCCGAACACAGGUAUAAUUUCCAUUCAGAAUGUCACCCAGCUCAGAAGCAGAUACGAGUUGCGAGUAAGGGUUUCUGAUGGAAGGUUUGCCAACAUGACCUCAGUAAAAAUAAAUGUGGGGGAGAACAAGGAGAGCAGCCUGAAGUUUACUCAGGAGUUAUACACAGCCUCUGUUCGUGAAAACUCAGCAGAGAACAAGACUGUUGCUAUCAUUGCUGCUGUGGGGAACCGUGUGAAUGAGCCAAUGUUUUAUGCUAUACUGAAUCCUGACAGGAGGUUUAAGAUUGGCCAUACGUCUGGGGUGCUCUCCACUACAGGCAUACCAUUUGACCGCGAAGAGCAGAACUCAUUUGAUAUUGUUGUGCAGGUGACAAAGGAAGACAGAUCAUCUGGGGUGGCCCACGUUCUUGUAAAGGUGACCAUUGAAGAUGAGAAUGACAAUGAGCCAGCGUUUGUCAAUUUGCCGUACCACGCUCUAGUGCAGAUGGAGGCAGAAGUGGGUCAGGUCAUCAGGCAGGUGACUGCAGUGGACAGAGAUGUUGGCAGGAAUGCUGAGAUCCAUUACCACCUCACCGAACAUCACAAGCAUUUCCAGAUAAGUCCAUCAGGUGAAAUUUCUUUAAAGAGGAGGUUGGAAAAGGAUGCUCUCAACACAGAGUUUGUAAUUUCUGUCAUGGCCAAAGAUGGAGGGGAUCCAGCCCUUUCAUCAGUGGUCGAGGUGUCCAUAAGAGUUGUGGACAGAGCUGUUCCCAUGUUUGAAAAGCCCUUUUACAGCAUAGAAAUUCCAGAGAACAUACCACUACGUGCUCCAGUAGUCCACGUCCAGGCCAGUGACUCUGAGGGACCCCGAGUUGUGUACACCAUAGAAGAAGGAGAUCCACUCAGCCAGUUUUCCAUCAGCUUCAACACUGGGGUCAUACAUGUAUUCAAACCACUAGAUUUUGAAAUGCACCCUGCCUAUAAGUUAAGUGUGAGAGCAACAGACUCUCUGACUGGGGCACAUGCUGAGGUUUUUGUGGACAUUAUUCUGGAAGAUGUCAAUGAUAAUAACCCAGUGUUUCAGUCAAACCAGUACAACGUAAGCCUCUCGGAGGCCUCUACCCCUGGCACAUCUGUGUUGCAGGUGACCGCUACAGACUUGGACUCGGGCAACAACAAAUUAAUUUCAUAUCAGCUAGUUGAAGAUGCAGGAAAGAAUACCAGUUAUUUCACCAUUGAUUGGGACAGCGGUAUUAUCUGGACAGCCCACAUGUUGGACUUCGAGGAGGCAUCUCGACAUGAGUUGAUUGUGAGGGCUGUGGAUGCUGGAGUCCCUGCUCUUUCCAGCGAAGUGACUGUGACAAUUUACUUGACAGAUGUCAAUGACAAUGCUCCUGUCUUCACCCAGCAGUUAUACAAUGCUACUGUCAGUGAACUUGCUUCUCGUGGGCAUUUUGUCACACAAGUGCAGGCUUCUGAUCCGGAUCGUUCUGAUGUGGGAAAACUGGAGUUCUCCAUCGUCACUGGAAACGAGGACCAAAACUUUGCCAUUGACCGGGAAACUGGUGCAAUUUUUAUUUCAAAUCAUCGCAAGGUGCAAAUGGAAUCGAGUUAUGAUCUGGAAGUGUCUGUGUCUGACGGAGUGUUCAGAAGCUCAGUUGUGGUCACGAUUGUAGUCACUGGUGCCAACUUUCACAGCCCUUCUUUUACUCAGAUGGAAUAUGUGGUAGAACUUGUGGAGAAUUCCCCAGUUGGCACACUGAUUGCAGAAACCAAAGCCAUUGACCCCGACUCGGGCACCUAUGGACAGGUGUCAUACUACAUUGUGAAUGACUUUGCCAGAGACAAAUUUUCUGUUAACGACAACGGAGAGGUUUAUGCUCUUGAGGUCCUAGACCGCGAGAACCUAAAAGAGAAGGUUAUCUCUGUAAGUUUGAUGGCUAAAGAUGGGGGUGGAAAGGUGGGAUUUUGCAUUGUUAAUGUCGUCCUAACUGACAUCAACGAUAAUGCCCCACAAUUUAGGGCAGCAGAAUACAGAGCAAACGUUGCAUCAGAUGUUCUAAGGGGAACCACAGUGUUGAGGGUCGCAGCAUCUGACAUGGAUGAAGGCAGCAAUGCUGACAUUACCUACACCAUUGAGGCCGAGGUAGAAAAUGUAGUGGAAAACUUUGAGAUCCAUCCCUACAGCGGUGCCAUUGUAACGAGGGAAAGCCUCAUUGGACUUGAAAAUGACCUUUACACAUUCUAUGUCAGGGCGAAGGAUGCAGGGAAUCCACCAAAACAGUCUGUUGUACCUGUGUACAUCCAAAUACUGGCUCCUGAAGUUCCUGUGCCAAAGUUUGUUGAACCUCACUAUAGGUUUGCAUUAGCUGAAGACCUGUCAGUGGGGUCAGAGAUUGAUGUUAUUCAAGCAGAGAGUGAACAACCUGUUGUGUAUAGCCUUGUCAGAGGAAACACUCCUGAGAGCAAUCAGGAUGAGGUUUUUGUUGUUGACCGAGACACUGGCAGUCUGAAACUGGAGAAGAACCUUGACCAUGAAACGACCAAGUGGUACCAGCUCACAUUGCUGGCACAAAGCAUCCACGAAGGCAUUGAAACUGUGUCCUCUGUGGACAUUAGCAUUCAGGUGAAGGACAUCAAUGACAAUACCCCCUUCUUUGAGUCCAACCCUUACAAGGCAAUUGUGGUGGAGAACCUGCCAGGGGGCACCCCAGUGAUCCAGGUGAAGGCCAACGAUCGGGACUCUGGUACAAACGGACAAGUUGUUUACAGCCUGGACCAGAAACAGGAGACUGAAGAAAUCGCAGAGCUGUUUGCCAUUAAUGGCGAGAAUGGCUGGCUGACCACCCUGAAAGAGCUGGACCGGGAGAGGCGGAGCACAUACACCGUGGCCCUAAUAGCCACCGACAGAGGAGAGAAGAGACAGCUGAUUGCCAGCACCAAAGUGGAGGUGACUGUGGCUGACGUUAAUGACAACCCACCGCGUUUUACAGCCAAGGUCUAUAAAGGUACCGUGAGUGAAGAUGAUCCCCCACCCAGCGGAGUCAUUGCCAUUCUCAGCACCACUGAUGACGAUACAGAGGACAUGAACAAGCAAGUUAGUUACUUUAUAACAGGAGGGGAUCCGCUGGGACAGUUUGCCGUCGAGCAUGUCCAGAGGGAGUGGAAGGUGUCUGUCAGGAAGCCCCUGGACCGGGAGCAGAAGGACCAUUAUCUGCUGAACAUCACUGCCUCUGAUGGCACUUUCAUGGCCAAGGCUGUGGUGGAAGUGAAGGUACUGGACGCCAAUGAUAACAGCCCUGUUUGUAAGAAGAUGCGGUAUGAGGAGUCCGUCUCUGAGGAUGCCUCAGCAGGCAGGCUGGUGCUGCAAGUAUCUGCCACAGAUGCAGACAUUCGCUCCAAUGGACAGAUCUCCUAUGAGCUCAGCGGAUCUGGGUCUGAGAAAUUCAGCAUGGACUCGGAAACAGGCGAGCUGAGGACUCUGCUGCCCCUGGACCGUGAACAAGAGGAGGACUACCGUCUUGAGGUGCGGGCACUGGACGGCGGGGGCCGCUACUGCCAGGCCAGUGUACACAUAACGGUGGAAGAUGUGAACGAUAACGCUCCGCAGUUUGCCUCUGAGUCCUACAGUGUCACAGUCUUCGAAAACACGGAGGUGGGCACACCGGUGGCACGGCUACAGGCCUCAGACCUUGACCUGGGUGUGAACGGAGACGUCCUGUACAUGUUAGAGGACUCCGCCAAUGGCUACUUCUCCAUUGAUGAGCGCUCAGGCCUUGUCCGACUCCAGAAGUCACUGGACAGGGAGCUGCAGGCAGAGUAUGAGUUGACGGCCCGGGCCACCGACCAGGGGACUCCACAGAGGAUGUCCUCAGUCUGCCGGGUAGCAGUGUCCGUACUGGACAUCAAUGACAACCCACCGGUGUUUGAACGUCAUGAGUACGUUGCCACCGUGCCAGAAAACAUUGCCGUGGGAACCCAGAUCCUGCGUGUCUUUGCUGCUAGCAGGGAUGUUGAGGCCAAUGGCGAGAUCUCCUAUUCCAUCGUUAGUGGCAACGAGCACGGGAUGUUCCGAGUAGACUCCCAGACUGGAGACUUAUUUGUGAUCGAACCAUUGGACUACGAGAUCUCCCAUGAAUACUACUUGACUGUGGAAGCCACAGAUGGUGGUGUGCCUCCUCUGAGUGACCUGGCUACCAUCAGCAUCAACCUGACAGAUAUUAACGACAACAGCCCUGUGUUCAGUCAGGAUGUCUACUCGACUGUGGUCAGCGAAGACUCCGAGCUGGGAAAGACCAUAAUGGCACUUGUAGCAGAGGACAUCGAUGGACCGUCACACAACCGCGUCCGGUACGCCAUCAUGGGUGGAAACGAGGGUAGCCCCUUCACUGUGGACGCUGCCACCGGUGUGCUGAAAGUGGCUCGACACUUGGAUAGAGAGAAGAUAUCUGGAUACACACUGACUGUGCAGGCCACCGACAAUGGGAGUCCACCUAAAUCCAGCAGCGCCACCAUCAACAUUGACGUGUCUGAUGUGAACGACAAUGCCCCGGUAUUCUCCCAUGCCAACUACAGCAUUAUCAUACAGGAGAACUGCCCCCUGGGAACCAGCGUGCUUCAGCUCAGCGUGACAGACAAGGAUGCCUCCCACAACGGACCUCCCUUCUCUUUCGAUAUCAUUGAUGGAAAUACUGGGAGCACCUUCCAGAUCGACCCACAGGGGUCGCUGAUAGUGGUUGGCCACUUGAACCGUUGGGCUAAAGAGCACUAUCUGCUUCACGCCCAGGUCUCUGACAGCGGGAGACCCCAGCUGCAGUCGUCCACCUUCAUUAGUGUCAGGUUGAUCGAGGAGAGCAUCCAUCCACCAUCCGUACUUCCUCUGGAUGUUUUCAUCACCACUCCUGGCGAGGAAUAUGCUGGUGGGGUCUUGGGAAAGGUCCAUGCCACUGACCAGGAUGUAUACGACACGCUGACCUACAACCUGGCAUCUCAGCCCACUGGCGCCACUUUCUCUGUGUCUCCUGGCGACGGCAAGCUGGUGGCUCGCGGGCCACUGGACCCCGGCCACUACCAGCUCAACGUGACCGUCACAGACGGCCGCUUCACGGCCGUUGUUGAUGUGGGCGUGCACGUGCGGCAGGUGGGACGAGUGGCACUAGAUGACUCGGUUGCUGUGCGCUUCACCACAAUCACACCUGAGGAGUUUAUUGGCGACUACUGGCGCAACUUUCAGCGUGCAUUGCGCAACAUGGCUGGUGUCCGGCGUGCAGAUGUACAGAUGGUCAGCCUUCAGCCAUCAGAGACGCCAGGGGACCUGGACGUGCUGCUGACCCUGGAGAAGUCAGGUGGACCCUACCCCUCGCCUGAAGCCCUUUUCCGCAAGCUCAACACCUCGGUGGCUACCAUUGAGGAGAUGAUUGGUGUGCGAAUUGCAAGAGUCUACAGAAAGCUGUGUGCUGGGCUAGACUGCCCACUUCGUUUCUGCCAGGAGACUGUCACCCUGGACCGAGCUGCCGUCUCCACCUACAGCACAGCCCGGCUCAGCUUCAUAACGCCUCGGCACAAGCGCUCACCCAUGUGCCUCUGCAAAGGUGAAGAGUGUCCCACCUGGAACACGGUGUGUGAAGGAGACCCCUGUCCACAAGGUACCGAGUGUGUGGCUGACCCCAAGAGGGUGGUAUACACCUGCAUGUGCCCAAAUGGCGAACAAGGCGGGUGCUCAGAGGGACCUUCACUGACUUUCAGCGGGAAUGGCUACAUGAAGUACCGCCUGCUAGAGAAUGAGAACAAAGAGGAAAUGAAGCUGUCGCUUCGCCUCAGGACCUUCUCCAGCCACGGCACCAUCAUGUAUGCUAAAGGGACUGACUACAGCAUCCUGGAGAUUGUGAACGGCCGCCUGCAGUACAAGUUUGACUGUGGCAGUGGCCCUGGCAUGGUGUCUGUGCACAGUGCCCAGGUGAACGAUGGCGAGUGGCACAGUGUUUCGCUUGAGGUGGACGGCAACUAUGCCCGGCUCAUGCUGGACCGGCUGCAUGCAGCCUCAGGCACUGCUCCAGGCACACUGCGCACUCUCAACCUUGACAGUCGCUUGUUUCUGGGUGGCCAUGCCCGCCAGCACGCUCGGGUACUCCCAGGACCUGGAGCGUUCCGGGGCUGUUUGGCUGCCGUUCGCCUCAAUGGACAGGAACUGCCACUGGUCCACCAGGUCCAGGCUCGAACUCACGGUCCCGCCAUCGUGGAGGAGGCAGUGGAUGUGACUCCUGGCUGUGCAGUCCUCGAGGCUCAGGCCUGCUCCAGCAACCCCUGCACCAAUGGGGGCAUUUGCUCCUCUCUGCCUGGAGGUGGUUUCUUCUGCAAGUGCAGCGGUUCCUUCAGUGGGACCCGCUGUGAGCUGAGCACCAACCCCUGUGCCUCCAACCCCUGCCUCUAUGGUGGGACCUGUCUGUCUCGGGGCCACGACUUCCACUGCCAGUGCCGGGGCCAGUACUCAGGGCAGCGGUGUCAGCUGGGUCCCUACUGCAAGGACAACCCUUGCCAGAAUAGUGGCAGGUGCAUCGACAGCCUGGAUGGACCUGUUUGCGAGUGCGAGCCCGGCUUCCAAGGGGACAGAUGCCUGGCUGACGUGGAUGAGUGCGUACAGAACCCUUGCACCAACGGGGCACGCUGCCACAAUUCUUACGGCUCUUAUAGCUGCAAUUGCACUGCAGGCUUUGGCGGGCGACUCUGUGAGCUGGGGUCAGAGGUCCGCAAUGAGCUGGUGUCCACGCCUUGGAACAUUGGCCUGGAAGAAGUAGUGGGCAUCGUCGUCUUCCUGGCAGGUGUCUUCCUCCUCGCUCUGCUGUUUGUGGCUGUGCGGCGGCGGGUCUGUAGGCACAGGAAGCAGGAGCCUGAAGAUGCUGGAAAGCGUUGCGGUGCCAGCCAGCCUUUCCUGCACAGGCCCUACUACCCGGACGUGCCUCCGCAGGUGCCCGUACGGCCCGUAUCCUACACUCCCAGCAUCCCCAGUGACUCACGGAACAACCUGGACCGUAACUCUUUUGAGGGCUCAGCCAUCCCCGAGCACCCCGAGUUCAGCACGUUCAAUCCCGAGCCGGUUCACGGACACCGCAAGGCCGUGGCAGUGUGCAGUGUGGCACCCAACCUGCCGCCCCCGCCACCAUCCAACUCCGUCUCGGACAGUGACUCCAUCCAGAAGCCCACCUGGGACUAUGACUAUGAUGCCAAAGUGGUGGACCUGGACCCUUGCCUUGCUAAGGAGGCAGUACAGGAAAGUGCCUGCCACCCCUACAAUACCCGCGGCAGCCUUUCUGAGGUUCAGUCGCUGAGCUCCUUCCAGUCCGAGUCCUGUGACGAUAACGCUCCCAUUUGGAUCAAACCAGUCCAGAGAACCAGAACUGGUUUUUAACUAGGGGCAGCUUGUAAGUUUUGAUUUGCAUCAGUACAGAAGGAAGAGACCAAAAACAGGAUAAGAGGUUCUCCAGUUUAAAAAAAAAAAAGCUUUCCUGCAGUUUGUCCUCCCAUCCACCAGGACGUACGCAAGAGUUUGUUUCAGUUAACUUCAAAAAAACCUUAAAAAUUCAUAUUUUUCUAAACGUAAGGACAGUGUGAAAUCAGAAUAGUUCUUUCAGUUAUGAUUUUAACACUUACAUUAUAAUUCUCUUUCUUGUUUUAUUCUACUAACCAUUUCAAGCUACAAAUGGAUGUUUGGAGAAGACCAAGCACAGCCUGAAAGGGUACAAAGUACAUAUGAUGGUCCUCCCAUACGUGCCAUGUCAUUGUGCACCAGCUCUCCUGACCUGUUAGAAUAUGAGGAGGCUCCAGGUUCCGAGAAUGUGCUUCUGCUUCAGGUCGUGGGAUUGUGGUUCCAUCCAUUACUUUCCACCUUCAUCUGUACUUACCCCAACCCUGCUACCACUGGUCAUGCAGUGCGACCUCCUCCACUGAUCUGUGCAGCUCCCAGGUUAUGGUUAAGAGCUCUACCUUGACCGAGUUGAGCUUCAGGAGUCCUUAUCAGGGGUUUUUACUGGGUGUGUUUGGGCAGGAAAGGCUUUUUUUAUCCUUGAGAAUUUCACUGGUCCUUCCUUCCAUACUGUCAGUCUCAUCUUCAGCAUCUCAGUGCCGUGGACGUGAAUGUUACCUUGCGCAAGAUCCAACCUCCCUGCCCCGCCCUCACAGCCCCUCGUUCUGUUGCAGUCCUGUGUUUUUUCGACCGGUGGUGACCACCCAGGCAUCCAGCUUUAGACCUCCUCCUAGCAUUUGUGGUGAUGGCCAGAACAUGUACCCUUGUUGUCCUCUCCCAGAAAGAGAGCAGUCACAUCCAUAUGGAGAGUGCACAUUUGUGAGAUGUGUCUGUACAUUUGUUGUCUUGCUUAUGCAGUGAAUUAUUAUUUCUCAAUCUCAUGUACUAAUGCUGCCUUUUUAUAUCUGCUCCCUCUCUGCCUGUCACAAGCCUCCAUAGUGACUGUAAUACACCUUGUCAACUCUGUCGUUGACACGGUGGAAAAAGAAGAGUCUUUCUCGGCUCACGACCUCAAGAACCCCAGAGGCUACCACUGGGACACAUCGGAUUGGAUGCCAAGUGUUCAACUUCCUGGAAUCCAGGAAUACCCACAGUAUGAGAUAGUGGAGGCCCCCGUACCGCUGUACAGCGACCUCGACGCCAUUGACACCGACUACUACCCCGGAGGCUAUGACAUUGAAAGCGACUUCCCACCACCACCUGACGAUUUUCCUGUCCAAGAGGAGCUGCCCCCACUGCCUGAGCUGCAGCACAGUGACGGUUACGGGACAUCACGGGCCACUCCCCCACCAGCAUCCAGCCCCGGAUCAUUUUCACGCGGCCGACCACCGCACGACACCUACUACAGC
This is an RNA transcript of Scleropages formosus (Asian bonytongue), 14806 nucleotides long. It is a transcript of the gene named FAT atypical cadherin 1a, with no coding region annotated. The transcript is spliced from 30 exons. NCBI's taxonomy places the organism in Eukaryota, Metazoa, Chordata, Actinopteri, Osteoglossiformes, Osteoglossidae. The record is from RefSeq and is a predicted model, not a curated record.